GAUCUUUUUGUGCCUUUUAAGAUCACUGCCACGAGUAAACGUCUUUCCACACUCUAUGCAUUUAUAUGGUUUCUCCCCUGUGUGGAUCUUGUUGUGGCUUCUAAGUCCACUACCAUGAGUAAACGUCUUUCCACACUCCAUGCAUUUAUACGGUUUCUCCCCUGUGUGGAUCUUUUUGUG
This is a non-coding RNA of Notechis scutatus (mainland tiger snake), 180 nucleotides long. Lineage: Eukaryota; Metazoa; Chordata; Lepidosauria; Squamata; Elapidae. The record is from RefSeq and is a predicted model, not a curated record.